Molecule: ribosomal RNA, 494 nt
Filed under: uncultured bacterium
Lineage: Bacteria
Description: partial 16S ribosomal RNA
Rfam family: Bacterial small subunit ribosomal RNA
Source: RNAcentral
GAUGAACGCUGGCGGCGUGCCUAAUAUGCAAGUCGAGCGAACAGACGAGGAGCUUGCUCCUCUGACGUUAGCGGCGGACGGGUGAGUAACACGUGGAUAACCUACCUAUAAGACUGGGAUAACUUCGGGAAACCGGAGCUAAUACCGGAUAAUAUAUUGAACCGCAUGGUUCAAUAGUGAAAGACGGUUUUGCUGUCACUUAUAGAUGGAUCCGCGCCGCAUUAGCUAGUUGGUAAGGUAACGGCUUACCAAGGCAACGAUGCGUAGCGGACCUGAGAGGGUGAUCGGCCACACUGGAACUGAGACACGGUCCGGACUCCUACGGGAGGCAGCAGUAGGGAAUCUUCCGCAAUGGGCGAAAGCCUGACGGAGCAACGCCGCGUGAGUGAUGAAGGUCUUCGGAUCGUAAAACUCUGUUAUUAGGGAAGAACAAAUGUGUAAGUAACUAUGCACGUCUUGACGGUACCUAAUCAGAAAGCCACGGCUAACUACGU